Molecule: small nuclear RNA, 108 nt
Organism: Fukomys damarensis (Damara mole-rat)
Lineage: Eukaryota; Metazoa; Chordata; Mammalia; Rodentia; Bathyergidae
Source: Ensembl
AUACUCAUUUCAGCUGCAUGUGUACUAAAAUUGGAACAAUACAAAGAAGAUUAGCAUGGUCCCCAUGCAAGGAUGACUCACAAAAUUCAUGAAGUGAUCCAUAUUUUU